Molecule: small RNA, 581 nt
Filed under: Pan troglodytes (chimpanzee)
Lineage: Eukaryota; Metazoa; Chordata; Mammalia; Primates; Hominidae
Description: retained intron
Source: RNAcentral
AAUGUCAGUCUAGGCCAAGUUCUCAAAAUUAAGUAAUUUUUAAUAAGCACAAAGACAACAGUAUUAGUCGUUGGCAUUUUCAUGGUUUACUUUUUCUUCAUUGAUCUAAGUUGAGAUUUUGUUUUUCAUUUUGUGAAAUAUCUAGAAACAUUUUAGUUGUUUUUAGAAGAUUAAUAAAUGAAAAUAAAAUAGUUCUGUGAAUGUAUAUAUUCUGAUAUUUAAUAUUGUCAUUGUAUUAAUAUAUUUUUUAUUUACAAUAUAAUUUGUCUUGAGUGAUUUUGGAACUUGAGCUUUUUCCUUCUUGAAUCUGAUUGUUUUUAAGGAGCUUAUGCUCUGUUACAUAGUCUUAAGUGUUAUUUUCAGGAAAAUUGCUUUUAAGAAGAAAAAAAUAUAUAACUUUUUUGUUUAUUUUUCUUCCAUAGCCUUUGUUUAGUACCAGUCACUCUUUUACUUUCCAAUUGUUCUAAGGCUGAUGUAGAUGUCAUAGUUGAUCUUCGGCAUAAAACAACAAGUCCAGAAGCACUGGAAAUCCAUGGAUCAUUCACGUGGCUUGGACAAACACAGUAUAAACUUCAACUUAA